GCUCGCGCUACAUUUUAAACGGUUGCCAGGGCUUACCAACGGCCGGGCUCGUCCCCAAGAGACAGAGAAACUAUUUCCAGCAGCAUGGAAUGGAUGCAUAUUGUAAUCAUCACGUUGGUGAAACUAUUGCUUUCUAACUCAGAACACAUAUUGAAUUCUAAAUUUAAAGACACGACAAGAUUUAGAUGUAUAACAGAAAAAGGACAUAAUUUUACAGAAAGGAUCAGAAUGUACCU
Hemiscyllium ocellatum (epaulette shark) is the source of this 236-nucleotide long non-coding RNA. RefSeq lists it as uncharacterized. NCBI's taxonomy places the organism in Eukaryota, Metazoa, Chordata, Chondrichthyes, Orectolobiformes, Hemiscylliidae. The record is from RefSeq and is a predicted model, not a curated record. The transcript is spliced from 3 exons.